RNAcentral lists this transfer RNA (72 nucleotides) under Camelus bactrianus (Bactrian camel). It matches the Rfam family "tRNA". Rfam says of the family: Transfer RNA (tRNA) molecules are approximately 80 nucleotides in length. Their secondary structure includes four short double-helical elements and three loops (D, anti-codon, and T loops). Lineage: Eukaryota; Metazoa; Chordata; Mammalia; Artiodactyla; Camelidae. The record is from Rfam by way of RNAcentral. RNAcentral also lists the same sequence under 1 other name.
GGGGGUAUAGCUCAGUGGUAGAGUACUUGCCUAGCUUACACAGGGUCAUGGGUUCAAUCCCCAGUACCUCCA